RNA transcript from Trachymyrmex cornetzi, 877 nucleotides. It is a transcript of the gene named ejaculatory bulb-specific protein 3, with no coding region annotated. NCBI's taxonomy places the organism in Eukaryota, Metazoa, Arthropoda, Insecta, Hymenoptera, Formicidae. The record is from RefSeq and is a predicted model, not a curated record. The transcript is spliced from 4 exons.
UAUCAUAACGUUUAUAAUUCUGAAGCAAUGCCUCGGUUAAGUAUCGCGUUGAUCGUUACUAUAAUAAACGUACUGAUGUGCGUUGCAGAAGAGAAGCUUUACUCUGAUGAAUUCGAUAAUAUCGAUAUUCAAACAGUUUUUAAUAAUAAAGGUUUAAUAGAAGAUUAUUACAAUUGCUUUAUGGAAAUAGGACCAUGUAAGACACCACAGCAGAGAUUUUUCACAGGAAUAUUUAGUGAAGCUUUCCAAACUAAAUGCAAGAAAUGUACUGAAAAGCAAAAAAUAAUAAUUGAAAAAGAAAUGAUUGCGCGUUGAUAACAUUAAUUCGGACUUCCAACACACAAUCAGUCUGAAACGCUAAUAAUCCCUCCUAAAUUAAGGUGAAAUCACAUGAUGCUCGAUUUCUUGCAUGACAGCGUACCUGCUUUGAUGACACUACUUGUGGCAGUUAUGGCAAACAGAGAAAUUUUUGGCAAGCGGAUCAAUUGGCAUUGGUAGCAGUCCACAGUAACUGUUGGAACUGCGUAAAACAAGCUGCUUGAGUUAAAAGUUGAAACAGAAACGCCAGUAUACUGGCAAGGGAGAACGUCCUGUGAAAUUGUUGCAUGACAACACCAGGCUACACACUGUUUCCAAGAUAAAAGGCACCAUAAUAAAUUUUGGCUGGGACGUCUUACAGCACCCGGCAUAUUCAUCAGCAUUGCUUCAACCGAUUAUCAUUUGUUUCGGUCGAUGCAACACGCCGUGUCCGAUACCCACUUCCAAUCAGUGGAUGAGAUCCGAAAAUGGCUUGACGACUUUAUCGUAUCCAAAGACACAGCAUUUUUCCGAGAUGAAAUUCAUCAGCUACCUGAAAGAUGGUUUAAAAUUAUAGAAA